Molecule: long non-coding RNA, 351 nt
Organism: Dermatophagoides pteronyssinus (European house dust mite)
Lineage: Eukaryota; Metazoa; Arthropoda; Arachnida; Sarcoptiformes; Pyroglyphidae
Source: RefSeq, a predicted model, not a curated record
ACCUUAUCCGAUGCUUCAAUAUCACAUUUUGCAUUGACUAAUAAUUCAACAAUUUCAGUAUUAUUAUUAAUAAUAGCCCAAUGAAUUGGUGACCGACCAAGUUGUGAUUUUUUAUUCAAAUCAAUAUCCAAUAAGUAAAUCGAUUGGUAUGUUUUCAGCUGAUAUGAAAAUACAUUUUUUUAAAAAGAAACCAAAUGUAAUCAUCAAUGGGGAAAGCAAGCAAAACAAAUCAAAACAGAAUCGAAAAGAAUCGUUAGGGAAUGGAAUUGAAUUUAGAUUCGUGCGCAUAGUCGGUUAAUGGUAAUAGUGUAUUGCUUCUGCUGCUGUUUCUUGGGGAUCAAUGAACGGGUC